UAGGGAAUCUUCCACAAUGGACGCAAGUCUGAUGGAGCAACGCCGCGUGAGUGAAGAAGGUUUUCGGACCGUAAAGCUCUGUUGUUGGUGAAGAAGGAUAGAGGUAGUAACUGGCCUUUAUUUGACGGUAAUCAACCAGAAAGUCACGGCUAACUACGUGCCAGCAGCCGCGGUAAUACGUAGGUGGCAAGCGUUGUCCGGAUUUAUUGGGCGUAAAGCGAGCGCAGGCGGAAGAAUAAGUCUGAUGUGAAAGCCCUCGGCUUAACCGAGGAAUUGCAUCGGAAACUGUUUUCUUGAGUGCAGAAGGGGAGAGUAGAACUCCAUGUGUAGCGGUGGAAUGCGUAGAUAUAUGGAAGAAUACCAGUGGCGAAGGCGGCUCUCUGGUCUGCAACUGACGCUGAGGCUCGAAAGCAUGGGUAGCGAACAGGAUUAGAUACCCUGGUAGUCCAUGCCGUAAACGAUGAGUGCUAAGUGUUGGGAGGCUUCCGCCUCUCAGUGCUGCAGCUAACGCAUUAAGCACUCCGCCUGGGGGAGUACGACCGCAAGGUUGAAAC
This 554-nucleotide ribosomal RNA is filed under the name uncultured bacterium. RNAcentral describes it as "partial 16S ribosomal RNA". It matches the Rfam family "Bacterial small subunit ribosomal RNA", at positions 355 to 900 of the family's 1533-position model. The record is from RNAcentral.